GAUGAACGCUAGCGGCAGGCUUAACACAUGCAAGUCGAGCGGUAGAGAGGUGCUUGCAUCUCUUGAGAGCGGCGGACGGGUGAGUAAUGCCUAGGAAUCUGCCUAGUGGUGGGGGAUAACGUUCGGAAACGGACGCUAAUACCGCAUACGUCCUACGGGAGAAAGCGGGGGAUCUUCGGACCUCGCGCCAUUAGAUGAGCCUAGGUCGGAUUAGCUAGUUGGUGAGGUAAUGGCUCACCAAGGCGACGAUCCGUAACUGGUCUGAGAGGAUGAUCAGUCACACUGGAACUGAGACACGGUCCAGACUCCUACGGGAGGCAGCAGUGGGAAUAUGGACAAUGGGCGAAAGCCUGAUCCAGCCAUGCCGCGUGUGUGAAG
RNAcentral lists this ribosomal RNA (378 nucleotides) under uncultured bacterium. Its description in RNAcentral is "bacterial SSU rRNA". It matches the Rfam family "Bacterial small subunit ribosomal RNA", at positions 28 to 410 of the family's 1533-position model. The record is from RNAcentral.